RNAcentral lists this ribosomal RNA (515 nucleotides) under uncultured bacterium. RNAcentral's name for it is "partial 16S ribosomal RNA". It matches the Rfam family "Bacterial small subunit ribosomal RNA", at positions 28 to 523 of the family's 1533-position model. The record is from RNAcentral.
GAUGAACGCUGGCGGCGUGCCUAAUACAUGCAAGUCGAGCGAAUGGAUUAAGAGCUUGCUCUUAUGAAGUUAGCGGCGGACGGGUGAGUAACACGUGGGUAACCUGCCCAUAAGACUGGGAUAACUCCGGGAAACCGGGGCUAAUACCGGAUAACAUUUUGAACCGCAUGGUUCGAAAUUGAAAGGCGGCUUCGGCUGUCACUUAUGGAUGGACCCGCGUCGCAUUAGCUAGUUGGUGAGGUAACGGCUCACCAAGGCAACGAUGCGUAGCCGACCUGAGAGGGGGAUCGGCCACCCUGGGACUGAGACACGGCCCAGACUCCUACGGGAGGCAGCAGUAGGGAAUCGUCCGCAAUGGACGAAAGUCUGACAGAGCAACGCCGCGUGAGGGAUGAAGGCUUUCGGGUCGUAAAACUCUGUUGUUAGGGAAGAACAAGUGCUAGUUGAAUAAGCUGGCACCUUGACGGUACCUAACCAGAAAGCCACGGCUAACUACGUGCCAGCCGCCGCCGUAA